This 696-nucleotide ribosomal RNA is filed under the name uncultured bacterium. RNAcentral's name for it is "bacterial SSU rRNA". It matches the Rfam family "Bacterial small subunit ribosomal RNA", at positions 32 to 715 of the family's 1533-position model. The record is from RNAcentral.
AACGCUAGCUACAGGCUUAACACAUGCAAGUCGAGGGGAAACGACAUCGAAAGCUUGCUUUUGAUGGGCGUCGACCGGCGCACGGGUGAGUAACGCGUAUCCAACCUGCCCACCACUUGGGGAUAACCUUGCGAAAGUAAGACUAAUACCCGAUGAUAUCUCUAGACGACAUCUGAAAGGGAUUAAAGAUUUAUCGGUGAUGGAUGGGGAUGCGUCUGAUUAGCUUGUUGGCGGGGUAACGGCCCACCAAGGCAACGAUCAGUAGGGGUUCUGAGAGGAAGGUCCCCCACAUUGGAACUGAGACACGGUCCAAACUCCUACGGGAGGCAGCAGUGAGGAAUAUUGGUCAAUGGGCGAGAGCCUGAACCAGCCAAGUAGCGUGCAGGACGACGGCCCUAUGGGUUGUAAACUGCUUUUAUAAGGGAAUAAAGUGAGUCUCGUGAGACUUUUUGCAUGUACCUUAUGAAUAAGGACCGGCUAAUUCCGUGCCAGCAGCCGCGGUAAUACGGAAGGUCCGGGCGUUAUCCGGAUUUAUUGGGUUUAAAGGGAGCGUAGGCCGGAGAUUAAGCGUGUUGUGAAAUGUAGUGGCUCAACCUCUGCACUGCAGCGCGAACUGGUCUUCUUGAGUACGCACAACGUGGGCGGAAUUCGUGGUGUAGCGGUGAAAUGCUUAGAUAUCACGAAGAACUCCGAUUG